This 406-nucleotide ribosomal RNA is filed under the name uncultured bacterium. RNAcentral's name for it is "partial 16S ribosomal RNA". It matches the Rfam family "Bacterial small subunit ribosomal RNA", at positions 30 to 526 of the family's 1533-position model. The record is from RNAcentral.
AUCGAACGCUGGCGGCAGGCCUAAUACAUGCAAGUCGAACGAGUGGCGGAGGGGUGAGUAGUGUCUGGGAAACUGCUCGAUGGAGGGGGAAAACUACUGGAAACGGUAGCUAAUACCGCAUACCAUCGGUUGUGGAUAGAUGGGAUUAGCUAGUAGGUGGUGUAAAGGCUCACGUAGGCGACGAUCCCUAGCUGGUCUGAGAGGACGACCGGCCACACUGGAACUGAGACACGGUCCAGACUCCUACGGGAGGCAGCAGUGGGGAAUAUUGCACAAUGGGCGCAAGCCUGACGCAGCAAUGCCGCGUGUAUGAAGAAGGCCUUCGGGUUGUAAAGUACUUUCAUCGGGGAGGCGUUACCCGACGAAGAAGCACCGGCUAACUCCGUGCCAGCAGCCGCGGUAAUUC